GUCGCUAGCACGUUAUUUGCCGGGCAUGAAACUCAUUCUCUCUUUGAGUUCUGGCAUAAAUAAAUAACUUAUGGAUGUUUUUCCUUUUAACAAAUCAAUAAAAGUUUUAUGUUAAAAGUUAAUUGUAUUAUUUUUAAUUCAAAUAAAGUUUAAUAAAAUGUAGUUGAGUACGCCUAUGAGUCUAACCUGAAGUUAGCCGUUCCUCUAAUUUGAUAAUUCUACACAGUUAUCUGUUAUAAAUCGACUCAGAUGAAUAUUCUAUUAUUUAGAUGUACAAUAUAAGGAAAAUACUAGAAAAUUAUGUCAAUUUUAUAUGAUAUAAUCAAGAAGUUCUAUUUCUGUGGAAGGAUUACAUAUGAUACAUUGAACAAAAUUUAAUUAUACUACACAAUUCAUAUUAUUUCUACGGAAAAGGAAUCUUAACCUCACAAAUCAGGAAUUUUAUCCAUUAUCAACAAAGCGCUGGAGGAGAGACAUGAGUGGAUAAACAUCGGAGGAACAUUAAUCAACAAAUUAAGAUUCGCCGAUGAUACUGCUAUACUGCCUGAGAAUGAAGAAGAUCUUCAAAUACCAUUAGAGAGAAUCAAACAGUUUCAAAGAGAGUGUAAAAAUGUAGGACUCACUAUAAAUAUAGGAAAAAUACAAGUUCCUUGAUUUAGUCAUAAACGAUCAAAUGGAUCCAGACGAAGAAAUCAAGUUCAGAAUUGAAAUGGCUCGAAAAUCAUUUGUCAAGUACUCCUCAAUGUUUGCAAACAGAAAUAUAAACCUCCACGUCAGAAUAGGAUUCAUGGAAUGUUAUGUGCGGUAAACACUGCUGUACGGAGUGGAAACCUGGACUUGUAAUGCUCAAAUGAUAAAAAAACUUGAAGCAUUUGAGAUGUGGCUCUAUAGAGGCAUUCUGAAUAUACCCUGGACUUAUAGAAUCACCAACGAUAAAGUACUAAGACGCAAUGGUCGCAAAAGAAAGCUGUUGACAAUUAUCAAAAUAAGAAAAAAAUCUUACAUAUGACACAACUUACGUAAGGACAAGUACCUACUGCUACAGAACAUAAUGCAUGGCAGAUAAGAGGGAAAGAAAGGCAUCGGCAAGAAAAAGAAAUCCUGGCUCCGUAACACAAGAGAAUGAACAAAUCUCAGCCUCGAAGAAUUGUUUCAUGUUGCGAGAGACAGAGACGCAUUUAAAAACGUGGUCGCCAACCUUCAAUGAGACGACGGCAUGAGAAGAAGAAGAAGAAAAAUAGGUUUUAGGUUAGAAAGACGAGUCAAAUACAGUUUAGUUGGACCCUUUGUUGAAGUAGUGGAUGGAGGUUGAAGUAGCAAAUGGACACAUUUGCAAAAAACAUGAGUCAUCAAAGCUUAUUUUUCGGAAUAUUAGUGGUAUUGUUACGCUCAUUUGAUGUUGAUGGAUAGUCCAUUUUGAAUUUUUGCAAAAAAAAUUUCUCCUCGAAAAUAUAUGCAAAAGUAUGAAAGUAUGAAUUACGUCAUCUAAACGUAGGUUCGUUUUCGGGUGAAUAUUUAAAUUGUCAACUUACAUAUUUUUCCGAUAAAUUACACUGUUUUACUUCUUUAAUAUAUUUGUGGUCCAUUAUACAUGCAAUUCUUUAAAAUGAAUGCAAAAAUAAAAUAUUGCAUGUUGCCUAUCCAAGUGAAGGGAAUAUUUCAUCUGAAAUCUCCACUGUUGAAAAUCAUCAUACUUACAGUAGUAUAUAUUUGCUCUCUGACAAAUAACUAUGAUAAGAUAUUCAAGUAGGGUAAGUAUUUAGCUAUAAAUAAUACAAUAAAGUAACAGUAGCCAUUUUGUUUUGAUUAAUCUGGAGUUUUUGUUUUGUAGCGCGUCAGAUUACUGGUCAAUUCAAUAGAGUGUUUGUAUUGAUUGACAAAAUUGAUUAUAUCUCAAUAAAUGGACGAUUUUUCAAAAACAAAUCAUAUAAGAAGGUCUAAGAAGUAAAAAGAGGAAUUCCAUUAUUCGAAACUGUGGACUUCCUCUGUUAGUAGUUCACUAAGGAAGAGUACUGCUUUCUUCUUUCCAGCUUCAACGGACUCAAAUCUAGAUUUCACCUAAGGCAACAAAUAGAAAUUGCAUGGCGCAAAAUAGCUGAAAAGCUCUUGAGGAUAAUGCGAAACCAAUGACCUCUACUUCCAUGUUUCGUGUCCCUUUCCUUUAUUUAAUCAAAAAUAUGACAGUAUUAAUGUUGAUUGAUAGCUCGACCUUCUAUAAACCAACAAAGGUACAAAAAAGUACACUUUCGCAUGGAUAUCGAAAAAUAAAAAAUAAUCGUCAUUGAUUCGUUCAUGAGGACGAGAUCUUUCAUUACAUGGAUUAUUGCUUUGUUUUAGGAUCAUAAGUAAACAAUCAGGAUCAAAUUUUUAUCAAUUUCUACUGUUAUAGCUAUUGCAUAAUUACUUAAUCGACGGUUAUGAUUGAAAUUACUGUUUUGGUAUGGAGGAGAUACCCGGACAAGAAUUAUUUAAUACGACUUUCAUUUCAAAAACCAAUUUUAUCGCAAGAUACGGAAAUGCAAAAGAACAAAUAAUACAUAGAGUUACCAGUUUUGAAUAUCGGGCAGUCAUUUUUGCAGAAAAUGAAAAAAUAGAUAUAUAGAUAACGAGUAAAGUAAGAAAAGCAAAUCAAAUAUAAUACGCUCUGAAUAAGACAAUUUUCAGGAAAUAACAAAUAGCCAAGACAAAAUUAAAAAACUUUAAUAUAUACAGAAAUGCUGAUUUGUUUACUGUAGCUGGAGGCAUUAUAUUCGUAAUAGAAUAUUGUAAG
Diorhabda carinulata is the source of this 2770-nucleotide long non-coding RNA. RefSeq lists it as uncharacterized. The record is from RefSeq and is a predicted model, not a curated record. Lineage: Eukaryota; Metazoa; Arthropoda; Insecta; Coleoptera; Chrysomelidae. The transcript has 3 exons.